GGCGACCUGCACAGGUGCUCGCAUGGCUGUCGUCAGCUCGUGUCGUGAGAUGUUGGGUUAAGUCCCGCAACGAGCGCAACCCUUAUCCCUAGUUGCCAUCAGGUAAAGCUGGGAACUCUGGGGAGACUGCCGGUGAUAAACCGGAGGAAGGCGGGGAUGACGUCAAGUCCUCAUGGCCCUUACAUCCCGGGCUACACACGUGCUACAAUGGCAGGUACAGAGGGCUGCGAAGCCGCGAGGUGGAGCGAAUCCCAGAAAACCUGUCUCAGUCCGGAUUGAAGUCUGCAACUCGACUUCAUGGAGGCGGAAUCGCUAGUAACCGCGAAUCAGCAGGUCGCGGUGAAUACGUUCCCGGGCCUU
This 360-nucleotide ribosomal RNA is filed under the name uncultured Latescibacterota bacterium. RNAcentral's name for it is "bacterial SSU rRNA". It matches the Rfam family "Bacterial small subunit ribosomal RNA", at positions 1024 to 1382 of the family's 1533-position model. The record is from RNAcentral. Lineage: Bacteria; Pseudomonadati; Candidatus Latescibacterota.